UCCCUCUCAGGGUAGUACCUGGAGAGUUUCCAGAACUCUACCAGCUUCGACUACGGGAGAGAGAGCCAAUCAUAGGCAUAGCUAUUCCAUUCCUAGCUUGGGCAGUAGCUAGCAAGUGGAAGGCAAUCUGCUACAAGU
Molecule: small nucleolar RNA, 138 nt
Organism: Ornithorhynchus anatinus (platypus)
Lineage: Eukaryota; Metazoa; Chordata; Mammalia; Monotremata; Ornithorhynchidae
Source: RefSeq, a predicted model, not a curated record